This 329-nucleotide ribosomal RNA is filed under the name uncultured eukaryote. RNAcentral describes it as "partial 18S ribosomal RNA". It matches the Rfam family "Eukaryotic small subunit ribosomal RNA", at positions 1470 to 1796 of the family's 1831-position model. The record is from RNAcentral.
CCCUUAGAUGUUCUGGGCCGCACGCGCGCUACACUGAUGCAUUCAACGAGUCUAAAACCUGCUCUGAUAGGGGUGGGUAAUCUUUUGAUUGUGCAUCGUGAUUGGGAUAGAUGAUUGCAAUUUUUCAUCUUCAACGAGGAAUGCCUAGUAAACGCAAGUCAUCAGCUUGCAUUGAUUACGUCCCUGCCCUUUGUACACACCGCCCGUCGCUCCUACCGAUUGAAUGAUCCGAUGAAUAUCAUGGAUUGAGGAUGCAAGUAGGUUCGCCUAUCUUCAUCUUCGAGAAGUGAAGUAAAUCUUAUCAUUUAGAGGAAGGAGAAGUCGUAACA